This 431-nucleotide ribosomal RNA is filed under the name uncultured bacterium. RNAcentral's name for it is "bacterial SSU rRNA". It matches the Rfam family "Bacterial small subunit ribosomal RNA", at positions 353 to 776 of the family's 1533-position model. The record is from RNAcentral.
AGUAGGGAAUCUUCCACAAUGGACGAAAGUCUGAUGGAGCAACGCCGCGUGAGUGACGAAGGGUUUCGGCUCGUAAAGCUCUGUUGGUAGUGAAGAAAGAUAGAGGUAGUAACUGGCCUUUAUUUGACGGUAAUUACUUAGAAAGUCACGGCUAACUACGUGCCAGCAGCCGCGGUAAUACGUAGGUGGCAAGCGUUGUCCGGAUUUAUUGGGCGUAAAGCGAGUGCAGGCGGUUCAAUAAGUCUGAUGUGAAAGCCUUCGGCUCAACCGGAGAAUUGCAUCAGAAACUGUUGAACUUGAGUGCAGAAGAGGAGAGUGGAACUCCAUGUGUAGCGGUGGAAUGCGUAGAUAUAUGGAAGAACACCAGUGGCGAAGGCGGCUCUCUGGUCUGCAACUGACGCUGAGGCUCGAAAGCAUGGGUAGCGAACAGG